Long non-coding RNA from Marmota monax (woodchuck), 541 nucleotides. RefSeq lists it as uncharacterized. NCBI's taxonomy places the organism in Eukaryota, Metazoa, Chordata, Mammalia, Rodentia, Sciuridae. The record is from RefSeq and is a predicted model, not a curated record. The transcript has 3 exons.
CUGCAUGGCACCCUGAAAACCGGAUUCCUGCUCCAAUGAAGGAAGAGAGUCACACAACAGUUACCUGAAUUGUGCUAAGGUCACAUUCAGAGGCACUGGACUUCAACAUUACUUUCUUCGUGUGAGCACUUGAGUUCCAGGCCUCCUGAGUCACACAAUAAACACCAGCUCCCUCUGCUUGUUGGCCUCCUUUGGACCUGCCACCCAUCCAGGAGACUCCAGAUGAAACACUGCACUUCUUGCAACACCAUGUCCCACACAGGACCUGAGAACAGGAAGCACCAAGAGCCAAUGAAAUCAACUGCCUCUUGAAUGGAAAAUGGACAGCUCACUGCCUAGACAGAGGGAAGACCCACUCUGUCUGAACUUUGCGGACAGAGCAGCAGGUCCCAGAAGGAACUCAGAAGCAAGUCCUGCCAGUUCAAGCAGGGAGAACCAGAACCAAGAGAAGGAGCUGAGAACAGACUGAGUGGAUUAACACUGCCUCUUGCACUUUGCCUGGUGACAUCUGAAAAGCCAUGUACACACUGGUGCACCUGUA